RNAcentral lists this non-coding RNA (147 nucleotides) under Nomascus leucogenys (northern white-cheeked gibbon). The record is from Rfam by way of RNAcentral. Lineage: Eukaryota; Metazoa; Chordata; Mammalia; Primates; Hylobatidae.
GCCAGGCAUGGUGGUGCAGGCCUGUAGUCCCAGCUACUUGGGAGGCUGAGGUGGGAGGGUCGCUUGAGCCCAGGGAGGUCGAGGCUGCAGUGAGCCAUGGCCAUGCCACUGCAUUCUAGCCUGGGCAACAGAGAGACCCUGUCUCAA